Molecule: long non-coding RNA, 1267 nt
Organism: Nerophis ophidion (straightnose pipefish)
Lineage: Eukaryota; Metazoa; Chordata; Actinopteri; Syngnathiformes; Syngnathidae
Exons: 3
Source: RefSeq, a predicted model, not a curated record
UGAAUAUUAGAAAACACUGCUGCAACCUGAAGUUCCUUGUUAAUGUUCACAUUCUUCAUUCAUGCAGAACACACAGGAGUAGGAAGCUCCGCUGGGAACACCAGACACGCACCCGCGCUCAUCAGGCAGACUGUGCCCACUCUCCGCCGCAGCCGGCGGCAAUCCACGCCUGACAUAGCUGGCGUUGAUGAAGGACGGCAGUAUGAAGACGGUCGACGCUGACUCAUCGACGUCCGAACGUAAAUCUACUACCCCGCUCGUGUCACCACUGCUGUUUCCCUCCUGGACCUGGUUUGCCUUCCCCGAUCCUUGACCCUGCUUUUGGACUUUCGGACUCUCUCUCCUGCCUUUGACCCCCGCUUGGACCUUGGACUUCCCCUGGCUUCUCUCCCCCUCGGAUUUGGACGCUGAACAUCCAAUACGCACCUCAACAAACCUCACGGUAUUCACAUAUGGUAAUUCCACACACAGUCGUUCAUGCAGACACAUAGUAGCAUAAACACUCCACGUAAUCAUCAAGUAUUCAAUAAACCACACUGUAAAAAAAAAUUCUGUAAAAAAACGGUCAUCUACUGGCAGCUAUGGCUGCCAAACGAAAACCAUAAAAUGAAAGUAAAACAUUGUAAACCAAAUAAUGAUCAAAAACAUAUUUACAGAAAAUUUCAUGAAACGUUUUGCGCAGAAAUAUCGUACUUUUACAGAUUUUUACUAAAUGAUUAAGAUUAACCACCUUAAAUAAAGUGAUGAUGCAAACAGUUCUGCAGAAAAAUACCUUUUCUCUACAGAAUUUUUCCAAAAUAUUACAAUCAACCACUUUUAAUGAAGUGACAAUACUGGCAGUUUCACAGAAAAAUACCAUUGUUUUACAGAUUUUUUCUGAAUUGUUAGGAUCAGGGGUCUCACAUUCAUUUUACCGGGGGGCCACUGGAUGCAGGAACUUGGUGCAAAGUGGGUUCACCUUCUAUGAAUGGCAAUCCAACCCUAACAACAUAAUUACCGAUCCUACCGAUUUUUCCGCGAGACUUUGGGUGACCCUCUCGUAGGAUUGACCCGAUGUUUGCCCGGGCAAAUACAUCACGGGCGUACCGUGACAGCGCUUUGACGCCCUCUGCAUAACAACAUAAUUACCGAUCCUACCGAUUUUUCCGCGAGACUUUGGGUGACCCUCUCGUAGGAUUGACCCGAUGUUUGCCCGGGCAAAUACAUCACGGGCGUGCCGUGACAGCGCUUUGACGCCCUCUGCAUUCAUUCGUUCACCGAACCAUCA